UGAGGCUGCAGUAACAGGGCUGCACAUGGGGAACAAGUCGGAGGCUUCUUGUACUCAAUUGCUCUCUUCUCAUGCCUUGCAAGGAGGAGCACAGCAGCAGGAGCUGGAAAUGGUGAUGACUUUACCUCCAGGGAAAGAUCUCCACUUAUCAAGAGGAGCUGAAGGCUCAUGGCCAGAACACCGACAAACUUCAGCUGGUGAAGACCAGAUAUUUUGGGUUAGCUGCUCCUGGCCUGUUAUGAACAUGCCCUGCCCCUGGAAGUCAGCAGGAAGAGUACAGCCAAUGUCUAUGUGUGCAGCCAAAAUGCCUAUGCAACCCAAAGCCCAAGUGAGUCCGCUGCCCCUGUUCACACUUCUGUCCCAUAGAAAUGAGUUAUUUAAAUUCCAUUCGCAGCCUGACUGCUUUGAUGGCUCUUUUUUUUUUUUUUUUUUUUUUUCAGAGCUUUUCCCUCCCGACUUGUUUGUUGUUUUUUGUUUUUAAUUUAAACUAAUGAGAUGUUUCUGUGUUCCUUCCUCUGUGUCUGAGAGCUGGAGAGUCUCAUUAUAGAACUCCUGCACAUUCUGGAAAUGAGCUUGUAAAAUCUUUUCUUGGGAUGUUUGAGGUGUGCACAAACCUGCCAGGGGAAGAGCCAGAUCCUAUUUGUUAAAUGCUUUUUGUUCUUCUCUUUCAAAGCCGAACCAACCCCUGUAAUGAGGGACUGCCUCUUCAUAACAUUUCUCCUAUGGGAUCUUUGAUCUUCACUAGGAAGUGGAACUCAGUGGAGAGAGAAUCAUCAUCAGUAGCCCAUUUCAUCCCAACCCCACUGCUCUGGGGCAGAAAGGAUGAUUCAUCCCCCGGCCAGGCCAUUCUUUUCAAUGAACUUGCCAUUGUUGUGAAUUAGAUCUAGUGCACGCCACCCUAGCUCACAGAAUUGUUAAUAAACGGAAAGUUUGCAUGUAGAAUAAAAUCA
RNAcentral lists this long non-coding RNA (950 nucleotides) under Coturnix japonica (Japanese quail). Its description in RNAcentral is "lncRNA (ENSCJPG00005020721.1)". The record is from RNAcentral. Lineage: Eukaryota; Metazoa; Chordata; Aves; Galliformes; Phasianidae.